UAUGAAAAGGUGUGCAACACCACCAAUCAUCAGAGAAAUGCAAAGCAAAUUGUAAUGAGAUCUCACCUUACACCUGUUAAGAUGGUUAUUAUUACAAAAAGAGAGAAGCUAAGUGUUGGUGAGGCUAUGGAGAAAAGAGACACCUUGCACAAUGUUGGUAGGUAUAUAAAUUAGCACAGCCUUUAUGGAAAGCAGUAAGAAGAUACUUCAAAAAGUUAGAAAUAAAACUAGAAUACAAUCCAGCAAUCCUGCUUCUGGGUAUAUAUCUGAAGGAAGCAAAAUCAGUAUCUUGAGAAGAUAUUUGCACCCUCAUGUUCAUUGUAGCAUUAGCCACAGUAGCCAAGAGACUUAAACUUUUCACUGACAGAUGAACAAAUGAAGAAAAUUGAUAUUAAAAUACAGAGGAAUAUUUUUCAGCCAUAAAAUGAAGGAAAUUGUGUCAUUUGAGCCAACAUGGAUGAGGACAUUAUGCUAAGUGAAAUAAGCCAGACACGGAAAGAAAACGACCAGGUGAUCUCAAUUACACGUGGAAUCUAAAUAUGUUGACUUCAUAGCGCUGCCUAUCAGAAGGAAGUGAAGAUUCUUCCAAGGUCCCUUCUUCACAAGCCAAUUUGAUUCAAAAGAUUCUGAGGGUGUUUCUGGAAGGUAUUUUAAAGGUGCCCAAGAAAUGAGAAGAAAGAACAAAGGCCAAGUCCAUUGGUCAAUUUGUACAAAAUAACUUGAGGCCUGGCCAGGUGUCCAUCCAGUUGAAUCAUCUGUCAUGUGGUUUCCAGCCAGUGCUUCCUUGAGCAAAACUCAGAUUCACAGAAAUCCCCAUGCAUUUGAAGGAAAGAAAUUGCUGUUGAUUGCCCUUACAAGGUAAAAUG
Callithrix jacchus (white-tufted-ear marmoset) is the source of this 866-nucleotide long non-coding RNA. RefSeq lists it as uncharacterized. The record is from RefSeq and is a predicted model, not a curated record. NCBI's taxonomy places the organism in Eukaryota, Metazoa, Chordata, Mammalia, Primates, Cebidae.